AACGAACGCUGGCGGCAUGCCUAACACAUGCAAGUCGAACGAACCCUUCGGGGUUAGUGGCGCACGGGUGCGUAACGCGUGGGAAUCUGCCCUUUGCUUCGGAAUAACUCAGGGAAACUUGUGCUAAUACCGGAUGAUGUCUUCGGACCAAAGAUUUAUCGGCAAGGGAUGAGCCCGCGUAGGAUUAGGUAGUUGGUGGGGUAAAGGCCUACCAAGCCGACGAUCCUUAGCUGGUCUGAGAGGAUGAUCAGCCACACUGGGACUGAGACACGGCCCAGACUCCUACGGGAGGCGGCAGUGGGGAAUAUGGGACAAUGGGCGCAAGCCUGAUCCAGCAAUGCCGCGUGAGUGAUGAAGGCGCUCGGGUCGUAAAGCUCUUUUACCAGGGAUGAUAAUGACAGUACCAGGAGAAUAAGCUCCGGCUAACUCCGU
This 432-nucleotide ribosomal RNA is filed under the name uncultured bacterium. RNAcentral's name for it is "partial 16S ribosomal RNA". It matches the Rfam family "Bacterial small subunit ribosomal RNA", at positions 29 to 506 of the family's 1533-position model. The record is from RNAcentral.